UCCACCAUCCCCAUGUGUAAGAGCCCUUUUUUUCAAGCUCUUUUAAGCGAGGAGGAGGCCAACUGGAUUAUACUUUAAGAUAGUGGACUUACUCCCAAUAAAAGCCCCGGCUAUCUCUGCCCCAGCAGCCGGGGUAAUACAGAAGGCGCGAGCGUUACUCAGAUUUACUGCCAUAAAGCGAGGUAGGCCGCUUUUAAAGUCGGAUGUGAACUCCCUGAGCUUAACAUAGAAAUCGCACUCGACACUGGGACUCUAGAGUAUGAGAGAGGAUGGUAGAAUUCCAUGUGUAGCGGUGAAAUGCGGAGAGAUCUGGAGGAACAGCGAUGGAGAACGCAGCUCUCUGGCCUGAUACUGACGCUGAGGUACGAAAGCGUGGGGAGCAAACAGG
This 388-nucleotide ribosomal RNA is filed under the name uncultured Eubacteriales bacterium. RNAcentral's name for it is "bacterial SSU rRNA". It matches the Rfam family "Bacterial small subunit ribosomal RNA", at positions 387 to 776 of the family's 1533-position model. The record is from RNAcentral. Lineage: Bacteria; Bacillati; Bacillota; Clostridia; Eubacteriales.